UUCGCCGUGGAAGGGCUGACGGAAUCGCUCGCCUGUUACGUGACCCCGGCCUUCGGCGUCCGGUUCACCGCGGUGGAGCC
Molecule: transfer RNA, 80 nt
Filed under: Pseudoruegeria aquimaris
Lineage: Bacteria; Pseudomonadati; Pseudomonadota; Alphaproteobacteria; Rhodobacterales; Roseobacteraceae
Description: tRNA-Asn
Source: RNAcentral